Mastomys coucha (southern multimammate mouse) is the source of this 1500-nucleotide long non-coding RNA. RefSeq lists it as uncharacterized. The record is from RefSeq and is a predicted model, not a curated record. NCBI's taxonomy places the organism in Eukaryota, Metazoa, Chordata, Mammalia, Rodentia, Muridae. The transcript is spliced from 3 exons.
AUUACCACAGUGGAAUUCGGAAGCAGGAGAUGAUAAGGUCACAAUGAGAUGGGUCAUUAGGAGAACCUUGUGGGACAGUGGAGGACAGGAAGGUUUGAGGCAGCUGGUCUUGCCAUAGGAGGGGAAAGCUAAUGAGGCCACCACCCUCUGUAUGCGAGCUAUGGACCUAAUAGUGUUUGUCAGUGAAACACAUCUGAUGAAUUUAAAUUUCACAAGUACACAGUUUGUAACAAAAGUCAACGUGUAAAUGUUUAAUUAGUGCCAAUGUACCAGCAGAGUGUUGUGUGAAUCAGAAGCCAUCCUGAGGGAAAUCAGAUGCUGAUUGGUCCAUUAGCUCUAUGGUGGAAGGUGGACAUGGAAUCAUCUUACAUAGUGAUUUUUUUUUUCACAGAAGUCAAAUGUCAUGACGGGUUUGUCAUAGAGACGUGAAAGAACUGGGAUCAUUGUGAGUGAGCAUUCUAAGGGAGGCUUUGCAUUCAGGAGAAUAGGAACAAGAUGAAGGAAGACCAGCUCUAGUGGCCAAGAACUUAUUCGUCAUCUCUGGGAGCCAGAUUUUAAGGCUGGGACACCGCUACGCAGAAGUUGCCCUGUUACAUGUCUCAAGAUGAAAACUUCCAUCGUUGCUCAUUUCCCUCAGCUCAGUAUAAUUACUGCAGCAGCAUUAGCAAGAACAUGAAGAUUUAUUCAGGAGCACUUACCAUAAGUAGGAUUUAUGAGACAAGACUGGCUUGCCUCACCCUGAGUAGAUGGCUGCAAUUGUCAAGCUGGCUACCUUUCUUUCACGGACUCCCUGGCAAUCUCCACUUUUUCCUUAACUAUGCUUCAUGGAGUGCAGCUCUGGAGUUAGACACUGGGACCUCAAGCAUGCUGAGCAGGCAUUCUACACCUCAACUGCUUCCCCACCCUUUGACUUCACACACCAAAAGGGCUAGCAUUGGGAACAUCAGCAAAGUCCUUGAGGUGCUGUUGCACCAAGCCCGGCCCUGCAGAACAUGCUAGGAGAAGAGUCUGUGUACGUCACUCCUGGGACAUGGACAGAGGCUGGCAUCCACACUGACCUUCCCACCUGGAGACAGGUCAUACCCAGAGGUCUGUAACCCAAGCAUCCCCCAGUGAAUAAGGGAGCAUCACUCUCCUUUCCAGACUGCUCAGAGGAGUGAAGUUUUACUAUGCAGGCUCCUGUUUCAAAGAAUUGGAUGGAUAUUAUAGAAUGCUAGUGUCAAAAACUGACCCUGGAAAUGGCAAUGAAGAAGCCUCUGUCAUGGCUGCACUUUCAAGCUCCAGAUGUUCUCCAUGCCUUCCAAACCAAAUAUCUCUCCCACAUUGCAGCAAGGAGGCUGGCCAUGAGGACACUCAGAAGCUCCUAUACCCGAUGGUUUCAUAAGGCCAUGAAUUCGAUGUAAAAUCCACCCAGUGGUAGUGUUAUGGGAUGUAGCCUUAAUGAUCUUUUAAUAUUUUUAUGUAGCAACAAAAGUAAAUUUUGAGUGUGUUUUUGAAUGU